RNAcentral lists this ribosomal RNA (497 nucleotides) under uncultured bacterium. Its description in RNAcentral is "partial 16S ribosomal RNA". It matches the Rfam family "Bacterial small subunit ribosomal RNA", at positions 28 to 523 of the family's 1533-position model. The record is from RNAcentral.
GAUGAACGCUGGCGGCGUGCUUAACACAUGCAAGUCGAGCGAAGCACUUUACUUGGAUUUCUUCGGAAUGACGAGUAUUGUGACUGAGCGGCGGACGGGUGAGUAACGCGUGGGUAACCUGCCUCAUACAGGGGGAUAACAGUUAGAAAUGACUGCUAAUACCGCAUAAGACCACAGCACCGCAUGGUGCAGGGGCAAAAACUCCGGUGGUAUGAGAUGGACCCGCGUCUGAUUAGCUAGUUGGUGGGGUAACGGCCUACCAAGGCAACGAUAAGUAGCCGGCCUGAGAGGGCGACCGGCCACAUUGGGACUGAGACACGGCCCAAACUCCUACGGGCGGCAGCAGUGGGGAAUAUUGCACAAUGGGGGAAACCCUGGUGCAGCGACGCCGCGUGAAGGAAGAAGUAUUUCGGUAUGUAAACUUCUAUCAGCAGGGAAGAAAAUGACGGUACCUGACUAAGAAGCCCCGGCUAACUACGUGCCAGCCGCCGCCGUAA